GUAGCGGCCGGCGGCGCCGCGGCCCCCUCAGGGCGGCGGCGGUCGGGGCGCGGGGCGGCGGCGGCCCCGGCUGGCAGCGGCCCUUGGCUCCUCGCUCAGGCCCCUGUCCUUCUCAAGUUUCGAGUUUUCGCCGCAGUUUAACAUCGCACGCCACAGAACGCGACAGGUGGCAAAUAACCAAGGCAGUACGGCGCGGGAGGCCGUGGCCAGCGUGCAAUGAUGAGGUUGAGGCAACUGAGGGAGCUGGAAUCGAGCUGGGGCGGAUAUGCAAGAAAGCCUGCGUCAGGACGGGAGUCCAGCUGAGUGUCUGCGGAGGAACCGAGUACUUCCAGAGGCUGAAAUGUCCUCCAUCCAUCAAGAAGCUAUGGUGGAACUACUUCACCUACAGACGAGUCAACUGA
Molecule: long non-coding RNA, 401 nt
Filed under: Anser cygnoides (Swan goose)
Lineage: Eukaryota; Metazoa; Chordata; Aves; Anseriformes; Anatidae
Description: lncRNA (ENSACDG00005003693.1)
Source: RNAcentral